Molecule: long non-coding RNA, 2680 nt
Organism: Columba livia (rock pigeon)
Lineage: Eukaryota; Metazoa; Chordata; Aves; Columbiformes; Columbidae
Exons: 2
Source: RefSeq, a predicted model, not a curated record
CAGCCAGUGCUCUGCAGGUCUUUCACAGACAGGGGUGCAGCCAGGUGGGGAGGUUUGUUGUCAACCAAAUUGCUAUGCAGUCACUCCCACUGUGUGACCACACAGGGACCUGGCCAGGAAUGCUAGUGGGGGGCAGAGCAUGGGGACAGGACAGCCCCGACUUCUUCUGGCAAGGGGGAUUGGGUGCAGGAUGGGGACUUCCCUCCCAAGGGAGGAGGGCAAACAUUUAUAUAUGGUUUUCAGUGGCUCUGUAAUACAGAGCGUUGCUCUCCACCAGUUCCUCCAGCAAAUCCUCAAAGGCAAGAACCACUCUUAUGGUUGCUCCCGGCAGCAGCCUAUGCAGAGAUGAGCUCUCCAUGGGGACAACAGAGCUGGCACCACAGGGUACCACCACUGGUUUUGUCCCUGGCAGGGGCCAUGGAAGAGACUACACUUCACGUUCUUCUCAUGUCUUCCAGUGACGAAGUAUGUUUUGUGCGACCCUUGUGCUGGCACAGCCUUUGUGUCACCCUGGCUGCCAGACCUCCCCGAGGGAAAGAGCUGCCCGAAGAGGCUCAGCAGCGUUGUGGUCGGGGACAGCAGGAGGUCUCAUGGCACUUCUCGUUCUGUUGAUGGUCAGAAAGGGGAGAAGACAAGAAGAGCAGCCACAUGGAUCUGUGUGCUGCAAAAGAUUCAUAAUCUUCUUGCACAAAAUGCAUUAUUAAACCUUGACUUUAGAGCUGUCUUUUGUAAUAAACUAGAAUAUAUGAAAGAAGUAGAAAAAUACGAUAACUGUAAAUUUACUUUAUUCAUAAUUUCAUGGUAUAAUCUGACCAAAAUGCAGAUAUUUCGCCAUUACUGGAUCAAAUACUACAAAAGGCUUUAAGCAACAACCCCAGAUUUAAGAAACAGCUAUUGACUGCAUGACUGUCCAGAAAAUGGAGUUUAUUUGGUGGUUAUCUUCUCCUUUUGAGACAUGAAUCUCUGUGCUAUCAGCACUUAAAGAUAGCUUGAAAAUGCAGUCCAAGUAGACGGAAGAAUUAAGAUCCCAUUUGUGAGAAUCAAAAGUACUUUAACUGACACGUGGCAGCUGUGUCUUAGCAAAAGCCCCUGAGCUCUAAUAACAGUGGAAAAGGAGAGCUGUGGGGAAAAAACAAAAAAAGAAAAAAAGAAAUACCACUUCUCUGUUCUGCACCUAGAAGAUGACAACUCAUGAACCCUGAACCCUGGAACUGUGUCUGCCUGGUGUGGGUGGUACAGGACACCUGACAUGCUCAGCCGAAAUAAGAGAGCUAGUCCAAGUCUACAAUCCACCCCUCUUUUGCAUUUAGACAAUGCAGUGCCAGCCAGACUAUUAGACAUUAUGAUUCAGUUAUUUGCUACUUGUGCAAAAGCUAGACUGAGCGAGCUGAUCCGUGUGAUGCAAAUAGCAAUGAAAUUGGUCUAGUUUGCCUAUGUCAGGAAUAUGAGGCUGUGUAUACUGUUUAGCAUAGAUAUUAGGUGGCGUGCCUAAAAGAUUUUCUGCAAUGCUGAGUCUCCUGAAGACAGAUAUCUAGCUAGAAUAAAAACCUACCUUUUUUUUUUAUUUUUUAAGCUCCAAAGAUGAGACACGGACUUGAAUGCUGAGGUUAUUUCAUUUUAUUUUUAAGCCCAUGCUGUGACUCCCACUAGACUCAGCAGUGGGGAAUGAGUCGCACACACGGCUCAAAACACGAUGUGCACGUACUCUGCUGGGUACAGCUAGUCCAAAGCCCAGAAAAGGAGGAACAGAGAAGACAAUACUUACACCCGGGUCUUUGCUGGGGCUGGGCAGCCACCAGGUACCAGCAGAGACCCGCACUUAAAUGAAAGACAGGAGCAAAGCAAUCGAUCUGAGGAAUCAACAUCCACAGCUCAAGCCCUUGCUCAGCAUGUUGUGGGAACCCAAUAACAGUUUUUUUACACUAGUCCUGAUCUGUAGAGAGUGGAGUGUGCCUGACCUGUUGGGCUGCCGGGAUGCUGGCGGAGCAAAUGCUUGUUGUGAAUUUAACCUGAAACACCACAAUGUGAGAAGGACCGGAAAGAGAAGUGGAACUUUGUGUGGGUUUCACACUAGUGGGUUUUACUAUCAUAUUACUAUCUCACUGAUUUUAUAUGGAGAAGCUUACAUUAAAGAUUUUUAGUAAAACUUUCUGGGAAUAAAUCUGCAUUAGGAAAGUAAACACCCAACCUUUCUUUACCCUAUGUACAAGUUUCCAACUGAACAACACCACGUCUGAUCUGUGAUGAAUAUCCAUAUUAUCUGUAAAUGUGUCAAAUGUAUGUCUUCAAAAUUAAGCUGUUUCAUUAAAAAUAAUACACGCAGUGCUAGUAAUCACACAGAAAAAUCUUUGUAAAACAGGGAAGUCAGGUCCAGGUGAAAGCCAUUGGACCUGGGCUGGUAAAUCUUAAUUGCUGUUUUUACAAGAGGUCCACCAUUUCCAAGACAUUGCAACUUCAGUCAAUUAAAUUACAAAUCCAAAUAAAGCAUCUGCUCAUAAAGAAGAAAACUCCAGCUGAAAUGCUUCAUUUCCUAAGCUACUUAUCUAUUUUUAAUCUCUCACCUUUCUUCACAGAAAAAUACCAUCACCGUAAAAGAGUUUUAAGAAAAAUGUAUUUGUUCAUAAACUUGGCUAGUAGUACAAAUCUUGUGAUAUACAAUAAAGUGCAAUAUUGAAUCUGA